UGGGGAAUUUUGGACAAUGGGCGCAAGCCCGAUCCAGCAAUGCCGCGUGCAGGAUGAAGGCCUUCGGGUUGUAAACUGCUUUUGUACGGAACGAAACGGUGAGCUCUAAUAAAGGGGGUCCAUGACGGUACCGUAAGAAUAAGCACCGGCUAACUACGUGCCAGCAGCCGCGGUAAUACGUAGGGUGCAAGCGUUAAUCGGAAUUACUGGGCGUAAAGCGUGCGCAGGCGGUUAUAUAAGACAGAUGUGAAAUCCCCGGGCUCAACCUGGGAACUGCGUUUGUGACUGCAUAACUAGAGUACGGCAGAGGGAGGUGGAAUUCCGCGUGUAGCAGUGAAAUGCGUAGAUAUGCGGAGGAACACCGAUGGCGAAGGCAGCCUCCUGGGCCAGUACUGACGCUCAUGCACGAAAGCGUGGGGAGCAAACA
RNAcentral lists this ribosomal RNA (427 nucleotides) under uncultured prokaryote. RNAcentral describes it as "bacterial SSU rRNA". It matches the Rfam family "Bacterial small subunit ribosomal RNA", at positions 355 to 774 of the family's 1533-position model. The record is from RNAcentral.